Molecule: ribosomal RNA, 355 nt
Filed under: uncultured bacterium
Lineage: Bacteria
Description: bacterial SSU rRNA
Rfam family: Bacterial small subunit ribosomal RNA
Source: RNAcentral
AGUGAACGCUGGCGGCAGGCCUAACACAUGCAAGUCGAGCGGCAGCGGGUCCCCGCGAGGGGAUGCCGGCGAGCGGCGGACGGGUGAGGAACACAUCGGAAUCUGCCUGGUUGUGGGGGAUAACGUAGGGAAACUUACGCUAAUACCGCAUGCGACCCUGAGUCGACGGACUUGGGGUGAAAGUGAGGGACCUUCGGGCCUCACGCGACCAGAUGAGCCGAUGUCGGAUUAGCUAGUUGGCGGGGUAACGGCCCGCCAAGGCGACGAUCCGUAGCUGGUCUGAGAGGAUGAUCAGCCACACUGGGACUGAGACACGGCCCAGACUCCUACGGGAGGCAGCAGUGGGGAAUCUUGG